UCAGACUGCUGGCCGGGUAGCUGGCUAUCGGUAGCAAGCUAGUGUAGCAGUGUGAUGUUGUACCCCUAGAUUAUGCACCAAGUUGCACACAAGGACCAAUUCAAAUAGGCCAGGUCAAGAGGGGAUGUUAAUAAUUUGAUAAUAAUAAUAAUUCAGUUGAAUUUUUUUUAUUUUUAAUUACAGCUGCAUAGCUAAUGUUUUUAUUUGGUGUACAAACACUUUUUCAUAUCAAUAUUGUACAUACAUGUGAUUGUAAAAGUUUUGUAUAUUUUGGUUUGGCCCAUCGCGGGUUAUCUGUAUUUCCAUACCACUAGUGUUCUCUUUUGCCUGACCUUCGGCUAGCAAGGUUCCUGAGAGCUGUGACUUCGCCAAGGGUUAACAUAAUGUGUGUUGUCUCUUCGUGUGCAGCUAGCAGAGCCAAGCAUUUGCUGGUGUACAUCAACCCUUAUGGGGGCAAGCAGCAAGGCAAGUGCAUUAUGAGCAGAAAGUCUCGCCUCUCUUCGCCUGUGCCUCCAUCUCCACGGACGUGAUUGGUGAGUUCCUGCCAAAGACAUUAAACAUGCUUUAAUAAAAGAUGAGUCUUUAUGGGCCAAGUCAAAUUGUUCACUCUAGGCAAAUGGGCACAAGCUCUCUCAGGCCGCACAGGAAUAUGACAUAAUUUACGGCCGCCAUCUGUCAUCCUAGUUCCUCAUUGGAAAGGAUGAUGGUCGAUGAAUACUGGAUUCCUUUACAUCCCGUUUACUUCUCAGACUAGCGGAAGACUGUAGACAUUUGUCAAAGUCAUAUAUUUUGACGAAUUGCAUUUAACUAUACAGCUGCUUGAGUUGAUCAAAAUAUUGAUACAGUAUUUGAACAAUUGUAACAAAAAAAAAAAAAAAAAAGUGGGUGUGAAAAUGUUUGCACAUAAAAUCUAACUAUUCCUUUGGCUACAAAUUGUUUCAAUGUCUAACAAUUAGAGAAGAGAAAAUGUCUACUUUAGGACUUCUGCUAUCUCAGACUUCUUCAUGGAAAAUGCUUAGUCGAUAUAUUGCGAGUGAAUGAUUACUCCUUAAGUCCAAAAUAUCGAUUUAUGCAACAAAUUAGGAAAACAUCAUGCGAUAUAAAUUAGAUAUAAAGGAUGAGAGAUAUAGAGAGAGAGAGAGACAGAGGGAAAAAGAGAGGACACACAGAGAGACAGAGAUAGAGGCAGACAUACAGUAAAUUACUCAAAUGUCAAAUGUAAGCACAUUCCAUUCGUUCCCAUGUGGAUAUGCUUUGCUCCCAUAGGAGAAUGAUCGAGGCUAAAAGUUCGUAGUAGCAUGGGUAGUGCUAUUGAAGGCUUCCACCAUUUCAAUGUAGUCAACUGGGUGGGACUUCAUUGGCUGAUCUUUCCUGGUGAACUUGUUGUAGUCAUGUCCAACGGUCAUCUUGACGGAUCAGCCAAUCAUGAAGAAGAAAAAUUACUACUUCAAAAUGGAGAUAGCCUCAAUGGCACUGCCAAUGCUGUUAGACGUUAUAAUGCCACAGACACAAAGAGGAGUCCCCUGUCUCGAUGUUUGCUCCUCGUCUGAAUCUCAGGUGACAAGGGAUGUCGUACUAUGGCUCAGUUUACACAGGCAGCCCAAUUCUGAUCUUUUUUUCACUAAAUGGUCUUUUGACCUAUAAAAUAUCUAAUGUGAAAAUAUCUGAUUUGUACGUUUGUUUAUGUGUAACUGUUGUUUUUGUCGCACUGCUAUGCUUUAUCUUGGCCAGCUUGCAGUUGUAAAUGAGAACUUGUUCUCAACUGGCCUACCUGGUUAAAUAAAGGUGAAAUAAAUAAAACAAUGAACUUGAAGUCUGUAGUUGUACACAGUGAAGCAUUGAGGAUGAGUAUUUGCGUUCUUAGAGUGAUGUCAUAAUGCAUCAUGCGGUCAUAAGAAGAUAGAAUCCUCUUGCUAUUAGGCUAGAAUCUUAGGUGGGAGAACAUUCCUAGAGAAGGUUAGUUGGAGACGGUCAUCAUAUUGGUAAGUCAUGUUUAUAAAUUUUUCCAAAAGUUAUGGUGAAUCUACUAUAAUGGAGAGGACGGUUUUAGGCAAAUAUGAUAGAAAUCCUUAGCCUACUGCGAGUAUCUAACUCCUGUCUUAUGUUUAAAUUAAUAUUUUCUUGGUUAAAGAUUGGUUUGCAUUAACAGCAUAGUGUACUGUACUAUAAACAUUUUGAAAAGAUUUACACAAAAUCUAUAGUAUAAAGAGAAGUUUGCAUAAUUGGUUGGUCACAGCUUUUUAAGUUUGGAUACAGGGCAGUCUUAUGGUGAGAUGCAAAAUAAUGUAUUAGAGACACUAGAAAUGUAGGCAUUGAUGAAAGA
This is a long non-coding RNA of Salvelinus fontinalis (brook trout), 2323 nucleotides long. RefSeq lists it as uncharacterized. The transcript has 3 exons. NCBI's taxonomy places the organism in Eukaryota, Metazoa, Chordata, Actinopteri, Salmoniformes, Salmonidae. The record is from RefSeq and is a predicted model, not a curated record.